UACGAAGGGUGCAAGCGUUAAUCGGAAUUACUGGGCGUAAAGCGUGCGUAGGCGGUUUCUUAAGUCUGCUGUGAAAGCCCCGGGCUCAACCUGGGAAUGGCGGUGGAUACUGAGAAGCUGGAGUACGGUAGAGGAAGGUGGAAUUCCCGGUGUAGCGGUGAAAUGCGUAGAGAUCGGGAGGAACAUCAGUGGCGAAGGCGGCCUUCUGGACCAGUACUGACGCUGAGGCACGAAAGCGUGGGGAGCGAACCGG
This 253-nucleotide ribosomal RNA is filed under the name uncultured bacterium. Its description in RNAcentral is "partial 16S ribosomal RNA". It matches the Rfam family "Bacterial small subunit ribosomal RNA", at positions 524 to 776 of the family's 1533-position model. The record is from RNAcentral.